ACGUAGGGUGCAAGCGUUAAUCGGAAUUACUGGGCGUAAAGCGUGCGCAGGCGGUUUCGUAAGUCUGUCGUGAAAGCCCCGGGCUCAACCUGGGAAUGGCGAUGGAUACUGGCUCGCUAGAGUGCGGUAGAGGAGAGUGGAAUUCCCGGUGUAGCAGUGAAAUGCGUAGAGAUCGGGAGGAACAUCAGUUGCGAAGGCGGCUCUCUGGACCAGCACUGACACUGAGGCACGAAAGCGUGGGGAGCAAACAGGA
Molecule: ribosomal RNA, 253 nt
Filed under: uncultured prokaryote
Description: partial 16S ribosomal RNA
Rfam family: Bacterial small subunit ribosomal RNA
Source: RNAcentral